This is a long non-coding RNA of Cryptomeria japonica (Japanese cedar), 955 nucleotides long. RefSeq lists it as uncharacterized. The transcript is spliced from 3 exons. The record is from RefSeq and is a predicted model, not a curated record. NCBI's taxonomy places the organism in Eukaryota, Viridiplantae, Streptophyta, Pinopsida, Cupressales, Cupressaceae.
AACCCUAACUCAAAGGUAAACAAAAGAUGAAAACAUUGUCUCCUUUCAUUUUUUAUUGUUUGUCUUGCAAGCGGCCGCCAUGGGUAAGGUUAGGGUUCGAGUUGGGAAGGCGUAUUUCAUUGCCAUAUGAUGCUAUUUUGAUAGCUUGUUGAAGAUUUUUGUAGGGAAGGUGAGGUUUUGGUUACUGGUAGAAGAUCUAGUGUUACCAGCAUAAGAGACUAUCUGUUGGACACUUCCGACAAGUUUGGAUCAAUGGAGUAUGUUUGAUUUUAUGUGCUACAUAUUCUUGGAGCAUGUUUUGGUCAGUUGGUAUUGACUUGGAUGCAUAAAUGGUGUUGGUGCGGCUUCUAGAUGGAUUUCAGGAUGCUGAAGAUGUUCUUUGAUUGUGCUUCAACUGCUUGAAGACAUUGCUUUGGCAUGGUGGACCCAGAAUAGGUGCGGUGCUUAUCUGGGCUAUAAACCGGUAUCAUGUUAACGUGUUCUCUACACAUUACCGAGAUGUUUCGAGAUGUUCUAUGGAUUGGUUAUUGUUGUUUUGGUCUUAAGCCGACAUGGCAUAUCAUUGUAAUAUGGAUUUAUGUAAUGAUCUUAUUGUAAUAUCUUUUAGGUGGCCGACCUAAUUGGUUUAGGCAUUAGGGUUGGUAUAAAAUGAUGUAAGAUCUCAUUGUAGAUCAUGGGAAUGGGGAUUAUGUGCCGUGGUUUUGGAAUGCAAUAUCAUAUGCGAAGGAGAUUUGGUCGAUCAUAGGUGAUCGAAUUGGGAUUAAGGAAGAGGUGAAAGGCCUCCGGUAUUGAGCUUAAUCGAGAUUGUAAUCAAGCAUGGUAGAUGUUAUCUCUGCCAGUUCAUUAUUCUGGAUUGUUGUCCAUUUAUCUUGAGGUGGUUAUAACCUCUCUGUAGUCAGUGAGACUCUUUUUUAAUGAGCAGUAUACUCUAAGCAGUGUGCCUUCCUACAUGUAC